GAACGCUGGCGGCGUGCCUAAUACCUGCAAGUCGAGCGAACAGAUGAGGAGCUUGCUCCUCUGACGUUAGCGGCGGACGGGUGAGUAACACGUGGAUAACCUACCUAUAAGACUGGGAUAACUUCGGGAAACCGGAGCUAAUACCGGAUAAUAUAUUGAACCGCAUGGUUCAAUAGUGAAAGACGGUUUUGCUGUCACUUAUAGAUGGAUCCGCGCCGCAUUAGCUAGUUGGUAAGGUAACGGCUUACCAAGGCAACGAUGCGUAGCCGACCUGAGAGGGGGAUCGGCCACACUGGAACUGAGACACGGUCCAGACUCCUACGGGAGGCAGCAGUAGGGAAUCUUCCGCAAUGGGCGAAAGCCUGACGGAGCAACGCCGCGUGAGUGAUGAAGGUCUUCGGAUCGUAAAACUCUGUUAUUAGGGAAGAACAAAUGUGUAAGUAACUAUGCACGUCUUGACGGUACCUAUCAGAAAGCCACGGCUAACUACGUG
Molecule: ribosomal RNA, 493 nt
Filed under: uncultured bacterium
Lineage: Bacteria
Description: partial 16S ribosomal RNA
Rfam family: Bacterial small subunit ribosomal RNA
Source: RNAcentral